GAUGAACGCUAGCGGCAGGCCUAAUACAUGCAAGUCGAGGGGCAGCGCGGUAGCAAUACUGGCGGCGACCGGCGCACGGGUGCGUAACACGUAUGCAACCUACCUUCAACUGGAGGAUAGCCCGGGGAAACUCGGAUUAAUACUCCAUAACACAGGGAUCCCGCAUGGGAAUAUUGUUAAAGCUACGGCGGUUGAAGAUGGGCAUGCGUUCGAUUAGCUAGUUGGUGUAGGUAACGGCUCACCAAGGCUACGAUCGAUAGGGGGUCUGAGAGGAUGAUCCCCCCACACCUGGUACUGAGAUACGGACCAGACUCCUACGGGAGGCAGCAGUAGGGAUAUGGUCAAUGGG
RNAcentral lists this ribosomal RNA (349 nucleotides) under uncultured bacterium. RNAcentral's name for it is "bacterial SSU rRNA". It matches the Rfam family "Bacterial small subunit ribosomal RNA", at positions 28 to 375 of the family's 1533-position model. The record is from RNAcentral.